This is a long non-coding RNA of Phragmites australis (common reed), 1691 nucleotides long. RefSeq lists it as uncharacterized. The record is from RefSeq and is a predicted model, not a curated record. The transcript has 3 exons. NCBI's taxonomy places the organism in Eukaryota, Viridiplantae, Streptophyta, Magnoliopsida, Poales, Poaceae.
ACUUUCUGAUGUCCAUCCUGUACUAUUAUAGUUACCACAUAUUACAGUUGAUUAUGUAGUUAUUUCUAGAGUUGUAGUGGUUGUCAGAAAAUACUCGUGCUAUUGUGGCCAACACGAUAUACCCUCUCUUUUACACAUCCACAACUGCUCACAUCUGUCUCUUAUAAUUACCUGUUCUUACAUGCAACCUUGUAAGUUAACAUUUGAGUUCAUUUAUGUUUCCAAGAACGUUUUUGUACCUUUGGAUAAAAUUUAGACUAUACAUGUCUGUUUCUUAUAUUUUUAUUUGGUUAAUUUGUUACUUUAAGUAGGAUGAAAUCAUGAAUGAUUGUUUUGUAUUUUUGAAUCGUAUCCAUCUUUUAGUUUAAAUAUAUCAUGGGAUCAUGGAGCAGUGCCAUAUAUAAAUAUGGGGAAAAUUGUCAGGAAUACCUUACAAGUCUUUUAAAAAUAAAUAAAUAAAAACUGGUAGUGAGUUUUGACACUAACUAGAGGAGAGAACAAAAGCACCCAGGUUAUCCUAGGACUCGAAAUUGAGUAGACACAGUAUUUACCUAUGCUUUUUUUUCUCAUUAUUUCUUCAGUUGGCAACAAUAUUUACUUUGGCUUGCGGUUUGCAUAUAUGUUGUGAUAUUCUCCCAUCAUGUUAUACUAUCUCUUAAAUAACCAAUGUCUGAAUUUCUAAUUCAAAAUUGCCCACUGAUUUCAGGUUUUCCCAUAUGCAACACAGUUUGUAUAGCUACUUGAGAUAUCUAGGUCCAAGCAAUGUCACAGUGAGCUAUCAACAACUGAGUCGUCAGAAUCCAUCGACAAUGGCUAAGACGUUGUCCAGUACAAAAUUGAUCGUAUGUCCAAGCGGUCUAUCAAUAUUAUGUAGUUUGGUAUUCCCACCAAGGUAUUCAGUUAGCGAUCCUCUCCUCAGUGGAAUGCCCUCAGGUUACAGGAAAGUAGAAUAUCUUGAACACUUUAUCAUAGCUUUCCAUUAACUACAUGUGAUAGUCUUUUUCAGCUUCAAGUUGCAUUUGUCUUGGGAAAUAGUUAUUUCAAAACAUGAGAAGUGAUAAGCGUAAAGAAUUCAUGAUCAUAAAAAAGAAAAUUUUGGUUUGUGUCUGUUGACCAGCAGCAGUGUUCAUAUAUUGCCACCGAGCAACAGGUGGGGGCACGCCAAAUAAAAGGUGUUUAAUGCAGUCUACUCAAUGAUAGAGUCAACUGAUCACUUAUGUAAUAGUUCUCAUUGGACAGGUGUUUCCUCAGUAUAUCCUUUUUCUAGUGUGUUAUUAGUUUAACCUUUCAGUGUUCUGUUGGGUGAUAUCUUUCCUCAUUCCUCGUUUUAGAGUUCCAAGCUAUUUCAUAAAUAUUUUGCUGAAUUUACACUUGGCAACUAUAUAAUGUAACAAGCCUAUACAAUAGCGCUGCCGAUACCAUUUGUUUUUUUUAGCUGAUUGCAUUUGUUUGUUAUGCUUUGUUUGAUUUGGCGUUACUCAGGCAAAGAUAUGCCGUUGCCUAACAAAAUUAGGAGGAACUCGGCAGCUGCAUGUUACAUUUUUAAGGGACAGAUUGAUACACGUUUCAAGGUUAUGGAUAUGAUUGGAAUGAAGCUUUCUACUUGAACCAAAUUAAGACGGUUCAGCCCAGGAGUUCGGCAACUUUCAAGAGGAAGAUUUUGAAGGUCCUGUGCAACACUUCGACGAAGG